Molecule: antisense RNA, 75 nt
Filed under: Micromonospora sediminicola
Lineage: Bacteria; Bacillati; Actinomycetota; Actinomycetes; Micromonosporales; Micromonosporaceae
Description: ASpks TB sRNA
Rfam family: ASpks TB sRNA
Source: RNAcentral
CUUGAUCGAGCCGAGCAGCAGCGGCCGGUCCUCGGGGCGGCCCUGCCCGUACGUGGCGAGCAGCGCCUGCGCCUC